RNAcentral lists this ribosomal RNA (1032 nucleotides) under unidentified. RNAcentral describes it as "bacterial SSU rRNA". It matches the Rfam family "Bacterial small subunit ribosomal RNA", at positions 356 to 1381 of the family's 1533-position model. The record is from RNAcentral.
AGGGAAUCUUCCACAAUGGACGCAAGUCUGAUGGAGCAACGCCGCGUGAGUGAAGAAGGGUUUCGGCUCGUAAAGCUCUGUUGGUAGUGAAGAAAGAUAGAGGUAGUAACUGGCCUUUAUUUGACGGUAAUUACUUAGAAAGCCACGGCUAACUACGUGCCAGCAGCCGCGGUAAUACGUAGGUGGCAAGCGUUGUCCGGAUUUAUUGGGCGUAAAGCGAGUGCAGGCGGUUCAAUAAGUCUGAUGUGAAAGCCUUCGGCUCAACCGGAGAAUUGCAUCAGAAACUGUUGAACUUGAGCGCAGAAGAGGAGAGUGGAACUCCAUGUGUAGCGGUGGAAUGCGUAGAUAUAUGGAAGAACACCAGUGGCGAAGGCGGCUCUCUGGUCUGCAACUGACGCUGAGGCUCGAAAGCAUGGGUAGCGAACAGGAUUAGAUACCCUGGUAGUCCAUGCCGUAAACGAUGAGUGCUAAGUGUUGGGAGGUUUCCGCCUCUCAGUGCUGCAGCUAACGCAUUAAGCACUCCGCCUGGGGAGUACGACCGCAAGGUUGAAACUCAAAGGAAUUGACGGGGGCCCGCACAAGCGGUGGAGCAUGUGGUUUAAUUCGAAGCAACGCGAAGAACCUUACCAGGUCUUGACAUCCAGUGCAAACCUAAGAGAUUAGGAGUUCCCUUCGGGGACGCUGAGACAGGUGGUGCAUGGCUGUCGUCAGCUCGUGUCGUGAGAUGUUGGGUUAAGUCCCGCAACGAGCGCAACCCUUGCCAUUAGUUGCCAUCAUUAAGUUGGGCACUCUAAUGAGACUGCCGGUGACAAACCGGAGGAAGGUGGGGAUGACGUCAAGUCAUCAUGCCCCUUAUGACCUGGGCUACACACGUGCUACAAUGGACGGUACAACGAGAAGCGAACCUGCGAAGGCAAGCGGAUCUCUGAAAGCCGUUCUCAGUUCGGACUGUAGGCUGCAACUCGCCUACACGAAGCUGGAAUCGCUAGUAAUCGCGGAUCAGCACGCCGCGGUGAAUACGUUCCCGGGCCU